This is an unclassified non-coding RNA of Dipodomys ordii (Ord's kangaroo rat), 287 nucleotides long. It matches the Rfam family "Metazoan signal recognition particle RNA". From Rfam's summary of the family: The signal recognition particle (SRP) is a universally conserved ribonucleoprotein. It is involved in the co-translational targeting of proteins to membranes. The record is from Ensembl. NCBI's taxonomy places the organism in Eukaryota, Metazoa, Chordata, Mammalia, Rodentia, Heteromyidae.
GCCGGGCACGGUGGCACGCGCCUGUAAUCCCAGCUACCCGGAAGGCUGAGCCCGGAGGAUCGCUUGAGUCCAGGAGUUCUGGGCUGCAGUGCGCUAUGCCCAUCGGGUGUCCGCACUAAGUUCGGCAUCAAUAUGGUGACCUCCCGGGAGCGGGGAAACACCAGGUUGCCUAGGAGAGGUGAACCAGCUCAGGUCGGAAACAGAGCAGGUCAAAACUCCUGUGCUGAUCAGUAGAUAUCAAGUAUCAAACUAAAAGGUCCAGCACUGUAGGACUUUGAGAGAGGGAU